GAUGGACGGCCCAGAUUUAUUCUCAUUUUAAUCGUGAUCGGACGGCCCAGAUUAAAUCGUGAUUGACGGCUAAGAUUAAAAAGGGAAGGUUAUAAAUAACCUCACCCACACCCAACCCCAAACCCCAGCCGCCAGUACCCUCGCCGGAGAAGAAGAACCAGUCACCAGAGGAGUCGGCCGCCGCCACCCGACACCGCACCGGAGG
RNAcentral lists this long non-coding RNA (205 nucleotides) under Carica papaya (papaya). RNAcentral's name for it is "long non-coding RNA (CPAP_LNC012458)". The record is from RNAcentral. Lineage: Eukaryota; Viridiplantae; Streptophyta; Magnoliopsida; Brassicales; Caricaceae.